RNAcentral lists this long non-coding RNA (5092 nucleotides) under Gossypium barbadense (sea-island cotton). Its description in RNAcentral is "long non-coding RNA (GBAR_LNC008599)". The record is from RNAcentral. Lineage: Eukaryota; Viridiplantae; Streptophyta; Magnoliopsida; Malvales; Malvaceae.
AUAUUGUUGCGGAAGCGACGAUAAUAUUAAUAACAAUAUUAUCAGAAAUAUUUAGAUAAUUAUUAUGCCAAUAAUUAUACUAAGAAAAUUCCCAGUUAAAUUGGAGGGGUCACAAAUGGUCCCGCUUAAAACCCAACAACUAGACAGAACUCACUUAGAUAUUUAUAGCAAUAAUAACUAAAUAAAUAUAACCAACAUAAAGCUAUUAAAUAUAAGCAAACAAAUAAGAAAUAAAAUACCAGAGAUUUAACGAGGUUCGGCCAAUUUAGCUUACGUCCUCGGACACUACCAAAUUAAUAUUUCUUCUAGAAAUAUUACAAAGGAGAAGAUUUUGGGAUUAUAAAACCAAAGGGGGAGGGGUUCUAUAUAUAACAAACCAAACCCCCUCCCUUUCUAUCUUUUCCUAAUGUGGGAUAUUGCCAAUAUUCAACAAAUCUCCACCUUGGCGAUAUUCCACAUCUUCGAACAUCUUCUCAUAACACAAACUUCAAUAGUGUCUUCAAAUUUGAGCCAACGACGCCAUAUCAAAUGUGUCGGACAUUGAUCAAGUCUAAACAAUGUUCAAACUUGGCCCUUGUAACCACCUUAGUCAGCAUAUCUGCAGGAUUCUCCGUAGUGUGAAUCUUUUGGAGAAGUAUCUCCUCUUCUUCGAGAAUUUCCCGCACAAAGUGAUAGCGAACGUCUAUGUGCUUCGUUCGUGCAUGAAAAACUUGAUUCUUUGCUAAAUGAAUAGCACUCUGACUGUCAGAAUAUACCUUAAGUUGUUUCUGACCAACUUCCAAGUCUUUAAGCAAUCCAUGAAGCCAAAUUGCUUCCUUCACAGCCUCUGUAAUUGCCAUAUACUCUGCCUCUGUUGUAGACAAAGCCACCGUGGACUGUAAGGUAGAUUUCCAACUAACUGGCGCUUUCGCUAAAGUAAACAAAUAGCCAGUUGUAGACCGUCGCUUAUCCAAAUCACCUGCAUAAUUAGAAUCACAAUAUCCAACUAUGCAUUGACCAAAUGAUUCAUCCUGCUCGAAUGCCAAUCCGACAUCUAUGGUAUUUUGGAGAUACCGCAGAAUCCAUUUCACAGCUUGCCAAUGACCCCUGCCCGGAUCAUGCAUGUACCUGCUAACAACACUAACAGCCUGUGAAAUAUCUGGUCUUGUACAUACCAUUGCAUACAUCAAGCUUCCAACUGCAUUUGCAUAUGGGACUUUUGCCAUGUACUCUCGUUCUUCCUUAGUCGUUGGAGAUAACUGGUUACUUAGUUUAAAAUGAGGAGCAACUGGGGUACUUACAGGUUUUGUACCUUCAGACAUACCGAAACGUUGUAGUACCUUCUCCAAAUACUGUUUUUGUGACAGCCAAAGUUUGCCCCUCUUUCUAUCCCGAGUUAUUUCCAUGCCGAGAAUCUUCUUAGCUUCCCCUAAAUCCUUCAUCUCAAACUCUUUACUCAACUGAGCCUUCAGUCUAUCAAUCUCCAUUUGGCUCUUUGCUGCAAUCAGCAUAUCAUCAACAUACAAGAGUAAGUAGAUGUAGGAACUAUCUUGAAGCUUGCGCAAAUACACACAAUGAUCGUAUUUGCUUCUUUUGUACUUCUGGUCCUUCAUGAACCUGUCAAAUCGCUUGUACCAUUGUCUCGGAGAUUGUUUCAAUCCGUACAACGAUUUGCUAAGUUUACACACCCAAUUUUCUUUACCAGCAACCCUGUAUCCAUCUGGCUGAGUCAUAUAGAUUUCCUCCUUCAAAUCACCGUGUAGAAACGCGGUCUUCACAUCAAGUUGAGCUAGCUCCAAAUUCAACUGCGCUACCAAGGCCAACAAAAUUCUAAUGGAGGAAUGUUUAACAACUGGAGAAGAUACCUCAUUAUAGUUAAUUCCCUCCUUCUGAGCGUAGCCUUUAGCCACUAACCUUGCCUUGUAACGAACAUCUUCUUUGUCGGGAAAUCCUUCUUUCUUUGCAAAUACCCAUUUGCAACCAAUCGCCUUCUUCCCUUUUGGUAGUUGUGCCAACUUCCACGUCUUGUUUUUUUUCUAGAGAUUGCAUUUCCUCUUCCAUUGCACCUAACCAUCUAUUAUUCUCUAAACUCUGAAUGGCUUCGGUGUAAGUGGAUGGAAUAUUAUCAACAACUGGAAGUGCAUAAGCUACCAUGUUAGUGAAACGAGCUGGUUUCUGAAUUUCUCGUCUCUGCCUUCUGACUGCAAUUGGCUCUGAUUGCUGUUGAGGUUCUUGGGUAGAAACCUCUUCCUCAUCUGACUCUGCAUCUGCCAAUGAAGAAUCACUAGUGGUACCUUCUGCUGGAAUUACCACACUCUGCUCAAACUCCACCUGCUGCGGAGUACACUCCACCUGCUGCGAAGUACUACUCACUCCUUCUGGAUUUACCUUAUUCAACAUGGCAGAUUCAUGAAAGGUAACAUCCCUACUGAUUAUCGUCUUCUUUGCCUCUAGACACCACAAACGAUAUCCCUUAACACCAGUAUUGAAGCCCAUGAAUAGAGCCUUCUUUUCCCUUGGAUCUAACUUUGAUUCUUUCACAUGAUAAUAUGCAAUAGAACCAAAAAUGCGCAAGGUGUCAUAAUCAGUAGCAGGUUUUCCAUACCAUUUCUCCAAAGGAGUCUUGCCAUUUAUAGCAGAUGAUGGCAAAUGAUUGAUGAGAUGUUGAGCGUACGUCACAGCCUCAGCCCAAAACUUUCUAUCUAAUCCAGCAUUAGAUAACAUACAUCGAACUUUCUCCACAAGCGUUCGAUUCAUACGCUCUGCCACCCCAUUCUGUUGCGGUGUUCCACCUACGGUGAAGUGCCUUACUAUGCCACAAUCUUGGCAUAUCUUCAGGAAUGGAUCGCUUUUAUAUUCUCCACCGUUGUCUGAUCGGAGAACCUUAAUCUUCCUUCCUGUCUGAUUUUCAACUUUAGUUUUCCACUUAAGGAAAACUUCAAGCACCUCAUCUUUGUUCUUCAUAGGAAACACCCAAACUCGUCUGGAAAAAUCAUCAAUAAAGGUGACAAAAUAACAUCUUCCUCCAAGUGAUGGAGUCUUGGACGGUCCCCAUACAUCAGAAUGCACAUAAUCCAGAAUACCUUUAGUAUUGUGAAUCCCAGUGCCAAAUUUCACCCUUCGUUGUUUUCCCAGAACACAAUGCUCGCAAAAUUCAAGUUUGCAAGUCUUUGUACCUUUCAAUAAUCCUUGCUUGGCUAGAGUUUGCAAGGAUUUUUCACCAGCAUGGCCCAAACGCAUAUGCCACAGCUGUGUUGCCUCAGCGUCCUUCUUGGUACUCGAAAUUGCUGCUGCUGUUGUCCCGACCACUGUACUACCUUGGUAGUAAUACAGAUUGUUCUUUCUUAUGCCUUUCAACAUCACCAAUGCUCCUGAAGUUGCUUUAAGAACUCCAUCUCGUAUUGUCACAACUAGGCCUUUAGAUUCUAACGACCCCAAAGAGAUGAGAUUCUUCUUCAACUUUGGGACAUAUCGUACAUCCCGCAAAAUUCUAGUAGAUCCAUCAUGACUCCUUAGUUUAAUUGAACCUAUCCCGGCUAUUUUACAUGUGUUAUCAUUACCCAUGUAAACAACCCAUUUAUCUAGUUUUUGAAAUUCAAAGAACCAUUCCCGAAUGGGACACAUAUGAUAGGAACAACCAGAAUCCAUGAUCCACUCAUCUGCAUAUAAUGUUGAAGAUGUCAUACUAAGAGAAAAGUCUGACUCUGCUUCACUAUUGCAUUUUGCAACAUUUGCAUCUUGCGGAGUCUUCCCUUUUUUCUUCAAUUUUGGACAAUCUUUCUUCCAAUGUCCUUUUUCUUUGCAAAAGGAACAUUCAUCUUUGGCAACAGCUCGACCUUUGGACUUUCUUCUCUUCCCAUUAGACUGACUUUGCUGACGACCUCUUGUUACCAAUGCUUCCACUGCUGCUUCACCUGAACCUUUCAACUUAUCCUUUCGGCGUAGUUCAUAGCUAUACAAUGCAGCAGUUACUUCAUUGAAAGUUACUUCCGAUUUUCCAUGAAGUAGAGUAGUUUCAAGGUACUCAAACUCCUCAGGAAGCGAUCCCAACAACAUUAACGCCAAGUCUUCGUCUUCAAAAGUCACAUCCAAAUUCAACAAAUCAGCCACCAGCUGAUUAAAAUUGGUAAUGUGCUCGUUCAUCGUGGUACCAGGAACAUAAUUGAAACGAAACAGUCUUUUCUUCAUAUGCAACUUAUUUUGACUGUUCUUCUUCAAGAAUUUCUCCUCCAAUGCUUUCCACAAUUUACUUGCAGAAGUCUCUUUACUGAAUGUAUACUUCUGCUCUCUGGAAAGACAUGAUCGAAUUGUACCACAUGCCAAUCGGUUGAUGGUCUUCCAUUCUUUAUCAUCAACCCCUUCUGGUUUUUCUUCCUCAAUGACAAUAUCUAGACCCUGUUGAAAGAGGGCAUCUAGAAGCUCACUUUGCCACAUGCCAAAAUGACCUGUUCCAUCAAAAAUUUCCACUACAAAUCUCGUAUUUGCAGUUCCAAUCCUCGGCAAAAUGUACGAAGUGGAAGUUGUUGAUAUGGAUGGUUUUUCUUCUGUCAUUUUUGCCAUAGCUUCUACUUAAUAGCCACCAAAUGCAGAAUACCCACAAGCUUUAGGAAAUGUUUCUGAUGUGUAAGAUCAGACUAAGCUGCAAACACAGAGCAUACUACAAAACCUUGGCUCGGAUACCAAUUGUUGCGGAAGCGACGAUAAUAUUAAUAACAAUAUUAUCAGAAAUAUUUAGAUAAUUAUUAUGCCAACAAUUAUACUAAGAAAAUUCCCAGUUAAAUUGGAGGGGUCACAAAUGGUCCCGCUUAAAACCCAACAACUAGACAGAACUCACUUAGAUAUUUAUAGCAAUAAUAACUAAAUAAAUAUAACCAACAUAAAGCUAUUAAAUAUAAGCAAACAAAUAAGAAAUAAAAUACCAGAGAUUUAACGAGGUUCGGCCAAUUUAGCUUACGUCCUCGGACACUACCAAAUUAAUAUUUCUUCUAGAAAUAUUACAAAGGAGAAGAUUUUGGGAUUAUAAAACCAAAGGGGGAGGGGUUCUAUAUAUAACAAACCAAACCCCCUCCCUUUCUAUCUUUUCCUAAUGUGGGAUAUUGCCAAUAUUCAACAC